This 273-nucleotide ribosomal RNA is filed under the name uncultured bacterium. RNAcentral's name for it is "partial 16S ribosomal RNA". It matches the Rfam family "Bacterial small subunit ribosomal RNA", at positions 523 to 796 of the family's 1533-position model. The record is from RNAcentral.
AUACGUAGGGUGCGAGCGUUAAUCGGAAUUACUGGGCGUAAAGCGUGCGCAGGCGGUUUUGUAAGACAGGCGUGAAAUCCCCGGGCUCAACCUGGGAAUGGCGCUUGUGACUGCAAGGCUAGAGUGCGUCAGAGGGGGGUAGAAUUCCACGUGUAGCAGUGAAAUGCGUAGAGAUGUGGAGGAAUACCGAUGGCGAAGGCAGCCCCCUGGGACGAGACUGACGCUCAUGCACGAAAGCGUGGGGAGCAAACAAGAUUAGAAACCCGGUAGUCC